GACGAACGCUGGCGGCGUGCUUAACACAUGCAAGUCGAACGGAAAGGCCCUGCUUUUGUGGGGUGCUCGAGUGGCGAACGGGUGAGUAACACGUGAGUAACCUGCCCUUGACUUUGGGAUAACUUCAGGAAAUUGGGGCUAAUACCGGAUAGGAGCUCCUGCUGCAUGGUGGGGGUUGGAAAGUUUCGGCGGUUGGGGAUGGACUCGCGGCUUAUCAGCUUGUUGGUGGGGUAGUGGCUUACCAAGGCUUUGACGGGUAGCCGGCCUGAGAGGGUGACCGGCCACAUUGGGACUGAGAGACGGCCCAGACUCCUACGGGAGGCAGCAGUGGGGAAUAUUGCACAAUGGGCGGAAGCCUGAUGCAGCAACGCCGCGUGCGGGAUGACGGCCUUCGGGGUGUAAACCGCUUUCGCCUGUGACGAAGCGUGAGUGACGGUAAUGGGUAAAGAAGCACCGGCUAACUACGUG
This 468-nucleotide ribosomal RNA is filed under the name uncultured bacterium. RNAcentral describes it as "partial 16S ribosomal RNA". It matches the Rfam family "Bacterial small subunit ribosomal RNA", at positions 28 to 507 of the family's 1533-position model. The record is from RNAcentral.